Long non-coding RNA from Dipodomys spectabilis (banner-tailed kangaroo rat), 101 nucleotides. RefSeq lists it as uncharacterized. The transcript has 3 exons. Lineage: Eukaryota; Metazoa; Chordata; Mammalia; Rodentia; Heteromyidae. The record is from RefSeq and is a predicted model, not a curated record.
UGAACAUGGUCCAGGGAGGGACUGCGCAGGAGGCCAGAACUCACGUUCCCCGGGCAGGUCCUGCUGGCUGUCCUCUGGCUGCUGAGAGACCCCCACCUUGG